RNAcentral lists this unclassified non-coding RNA (203 nucleotides) under Hevea brasiliensis (rubber tree). Lineage: Eukaryota; Viridiplantae; Streptophyta; Magnoliopsida; Malpighiales; Euphorbiaceae. The record is from RNAcentral.
GAUUAUUACAAUGCAGAAGUGUGAAAUGAAGAAGUUAAGCACCACAACUGAUAGUAAAGAAAGAAACAAGUUAGCAACAUUUGAUACAGCGGCUGAUGGGGUGGCUGCGGCAGGCCCAUCGGCAACACCUGAAGGAUUGCUGGCUGACAUUUUGACCACCGCCGGGAGCGGUGGAUCAAUGACAUUAUCAGCAUCCAAUGGCG